Molecule: long non-coding RNA, 265 nt
Filed under: Brassica napus (rape)
Lineage: Eukaryota; Viridiplantae; Streptophyta; Magnoliopsida; Brassicales; Brassicaceae
Description: long non-coding RNA (BNAP_LNC024430)
Source: RNAcentral
CUCCAUGCACUAACGUAUUAUAAUUAUGUAAGAAGAAGAAGAAAGAAGAAACGAAAGAAAAGAAAAAUGAGAUCAAGAGGAAAGAGAGGAAGGAGGAGAAGUACAACAACAAAACCAUCUAGUCACCCUUGACAAAAGUGGUGCGGCUAGGUUAGCAUAGUGAGAGAGAUGCAUACUUUAUAUAUAUAAAUGUCGCACGGUUUGACCAAAAAAAGAAGAAGAGGGUUUUAGUUAAUUGUAGUUAAAUAAAUUGGUACAACUCAGU